This 75-nucleotide transfer RNA is filed under the name Marmota monax (woodchuck). RNAcentral describes it as "tRNA.Gly". The record is from RNAcentral. Lineage: Eukaryota; Metazoa; Chordata; Mammalia; Rodentia; Sciuridae.
GUGAGGUUAUAGCUAAGUGGUAGAGUGCUUGCCUACCAUGUGUGAGGCACUGGGUUCAAUCCUCAGCACCACAUA